This 27-nucleotide non-coding RNA is filed under the name Homo sapiens (human). The record is from RNAcentral. Lineage: Eukaryota; Metazoa; Chordata; Mammalia; Primates; Hominidae.
AAUGUGUCCAGACAUUGCCAGAUGUCC